Molecule: small RNA, 539 nt
Filed under: Pongo abelii (Sumatran orangutan)
Lineage: Eukaryota; Metazoa; Chordata; Mammalia; Primates; Hominidae
Description: processed transcript
Source: RNAcentral
CUCAAGCAGCCCGGAGGAGACUGACAGUCCCCGGGACCCUGAAGGUCAUCCGGGCGGCCCCCUCACUGACCCUCCAAACGCCCCUGUCCUCGCCCUGCCUCCUGCCAUUCCCGGCCUGAGUCUCAGCAUGGCGGAUGAGAGCAGCGAUGCGGUGAGAGCAGCGGGCUAAGGCGUGGAUGGGACCCCCAGGGCCAGGGCUAGGGAACCUCGCCCUGCACCAGCCCCAGUCAGACGCCGCUCCUCCAACUACCGCGCUUAUGCCACGGAGCCGCAUGCCAAGAAAAAAUCUAAGAUCUCCGCCUCGAGAAAAUUGCAGCUGAAGACUCUGCUGCUGCAGAUUGCAAAGCAGGAGCUGGAGCGAGAGGCGGAGGAGCGGCGCGGAGAGAAGGGGCGCGCUCUGAGCACCCGCUGCCAGCCGCUGGAGUUGGCCGGGCUGGGCUUCGCGGAGCUGCAGGACUUGUGCCGACAGCUCCACGCCCGUGUGGACAAGGUGGAUGAAGAGAGAUACGACAUAGAGGCAAAAGUCACCAAGAACAUCA